RNAcentral lists this ribosomal RNA (482 nucleotides) under uncultured bacterium. RNAcentral describes it as "bacterial SSU rRNA". It matches the Rfam family "Bacterial small subunit ribosomal RNA", at positions 30 to 506 of the family's 1533-position model. The record is from RNAcentral.
UUGAACGCUGGCGGCAUGCUUUACACAUGCAAGUCGAACGGCAGCACGGGGGCAACCCUGGUGGCGAGUGGCGAACGGGUGAGUAAUAUAUCGGAACGUACCCUAGAGUGGGGGAUAACGUAGCGAAAGUUACGCUAAUACCGCAUACGAUCUAAGGAUGAAAGUGGGGGAUCGCAAGACCUCAUGCUCGUGGAGCGGCCGAUAUCUGAUUAGCUAGUUGGUAGGGUAAAAGCCUACCAAGGCAUCGAUCAGUAGCUGGUCUGAGAGGACGACCAGCCACACGGGAACUGAGACACGGUCCAGACUCCUACGGGAGGCAGCAGUGGGGAAUUUUGGACAAUGGGCGAAAGCCUGAUCCAGCAAUGCCGCGUGAGUGAAGAAGGCCUUCGGGUUGUAAAGCUCUUUUGUCAGGGAAGAAACGGUGAGAGCUAAUAUCUCUUGCUAAUGACGGUACCUGAAGAAUAAGCACCGGCUAACUACGU